Molecule: RNase P RNA, 386 nt
Filed under: marine eukaryotic metagenome
Description: Bacterial RNase P class A
Rfam family: Bacterial RNase P class A
About the family: Ribonuclease P (RNase P) is a ubiquitous endoribonuclease, found in archaea, bacteria and eukarya as well as chloroplasts and mitochondria.
Source: RNAcentral
AGACGGCCGGAUGGCCGCUCUUCGCUUCUCGGAGUGGAGGGAGGAAAGUCCGGGCUCCACGGAAAUACGGUGCCGGGUAACGCCCGGCGGGGGCGACCCUAGGGAAAGUGCCACAGAAAGCAAACCGCCCGCCUUACGGUGGGUAAGGGUGAAAGGGUGCGGUAAGAGCGCACCGCGUUCCUGGCAACAGGGACGGCACGGUAAACCCCACCGGGAGCAAGACCAAAUAGGGACGGCACGCUUGUUUCGGCAAGCCGGCGGAUUUCCGCGCCGCCGUCCGGGUAGGUCGCGCGAGGCGUCCGGUAACGGACGUCCCAGAUGAAUGGUCAUCGUCCGCCGAGCCUUCGGGCAGGGCGGAAACAGAACCCGGCUUACAGGCCGUCUGG